Apodemus sylvaticus (European woodmouse) is the source of this 1065-nucleotide long non-coding RNA. RefSeq lists it as uncharacterized. Lineage: Eukaryota; Metazoa; Chordata; Mammalia; Rodentia; Muridae. The transcript is spliced from 3 exons. The record is from RefSeq and is a predicted model, not a curated record.
AAUUGUGGGCAGGCCCGCCCCUUCACAUUAGGAAUUCACUCCGUUUGCCCCACCCACAGGUGCUGGCUGUCAACGCAGCCGAAGGGGCCGUCCUGGUAGCUGCCGGUCCCGCAAUUGUCCGCUGGCGCCUCGGGUGCUGGCCCUGCAGCUGGUGGAGUCCUCACGGAACGCUCGGUCCCACUUGCCUUUCCAGGGGGAUGGCUGCGCUCUCAAUCUCGCAGGCCGGGUUCCCAAGAUUGCUCGGGAGUCCAGAGGAGUGGCGACGCCACCCAACCUGCGGGCGCGGAUGUCCACAGCUGAUCGACAGCGGAAUAACCCUCUGGGAGGAAGAGAAUAGAGUUAUCGGAAGGAAACCGGAUCUCAACAUUCCCCUCGUCCCAUUGAGGAGUUUGAAGACCAUCCGAUGCUCAAGCUCCUGGGGUCCUGGAGUCUAAAGACCGGAGAAGAGGCCGCGCUAAGGUGGAAGGAACAAAACAUUUCCACAAGUCGUCCUCUGACCUUCUUAUGAACAGCCUUGUGCGUAAACACUCAAAUAAAUGUAAAAAGAAAUGCGAGGAGGGCUGGAGCGAUGACUCAGCAGUUAAGAGCACAGAGGACCGGGGUUUGAGUCCCAGCACCCGCACGGUGGCUCGCAAACAUCAGAAACUUGAGUUCCAGGGGGACCCUCCACAAGCACCUGGCUUGCACCUGGCACAGACAUACUGGCAGGUAAAAUACUCAGAUACAUACAAAUAAAUUAUUACUUUUUCUGAGACAGGGUUUCUUUGUGUAGUCCUGGCUGUCCUGGAACUAGCUCUGUAGACCAGACUGGCUUUGAAGUCAAAGAGAUCCCCCUGCUUCUGCCUUGGGAGUGCUGGGAUUAAAGGUGUGCGCUACCACCAAGUCAAAUAAAAUUUUAAAAAGUUUUAGAAACCUCGUUGACGCCAGUCCUUGGAUUUCGUCGCAAUUUUUAAAAUGUGUGGUUUGCAGACUCUAGUUUGCUGGACCUAGCUUAAAUAUUGGGAGGUGAGAAUAAUAUCAGACUGGUUCAAGUGAGUGAUUGUUGAAUAUUCAGCCCUCCAAGGG